Molecule: ribosomal RNA, 425 nt
Filed under: uncultured prokaryote
Description: bacterial SSU rRNA
Rfam family: Bacterial small subunit ribosomal RNA
Source: RNAcentral
UAGGGAAUCUUCCACAAUGGGCGAAAGCCUGAUGGAGCAACGCCGCGUGCAGGAUGAAUGCCUUCGGGUUGUAAACUGCUUUUAUAAGUGAGGAUUUUGACAGUAACUUAUGAAUAAGGAUCGGCUAACUCCGUGCCAGCAGCCGCGGUCAUACGGAGGAUCCAAGCGUUAUUCGGAAUGACUGGGCGUAAAGAGUUGCGUAGGCGGUUUGUUAAGCGUGUAGUGAAAUCUUGGGGCUCAACCCUGAAACUAUUACACGAACUGGCAAACUAGAGUAUAUGAGGGGUACCUGGAAUUCCCGGUGUAGGAGUGGAAUCCGUAGAUAUCGGGAGGAACACCAAUGGCGUAGGCAGGGUACUGGCAUAUUACUGACGCUAAGGCACGAAAGCGUGGGGAGCGAACGGGAUUAGAUACCCCCGUAGUCC